CCGUGAUUUUGUCGAACUUCACUUAUAUCCUUUGGUUAGAGAAUUCAGCUCACAUGUGCUUCACUUAUAUCUUUUGAGCUAGUUGAUUUUGCUCUAUGUGCUUCACUUAUAUCUUUUAGAGCACGGCGGCGCGUGGCUUGGUAGUUGAUCUAUGCUAUGAAAGUAGUCUCAAAAAGGGUAGUUCUCCAAAGGGAUAUGAAAACUUUCACCUUCAUGUGCAUUGAAUAGUUAGAGAAGUUUGAUUCCUCUCAAUUACUUUUGAGAUGUGGUUGUGGUAAUAUUUAAGUUAUGUUAGUAUGGUGUUGUGGAUCUAGAAAUACUUGUGUUAAAGUUAGUGAUUCCCGCAGCAUGCACGUAUGGUGAACCGCUAUGUGAUGAAGUUUGAGCAUGA
Molecule: long non-coding RNA, 391 nt
Filed under: Hordeum vulgare
Lineage: Eukaryota; Viridiplantae; Streptophyta; Magnoliopsida; Poales; Poaceae
Description: long non-coding RNA (HVUL_LNC000610)
Source: RNAcentral